UUGCUUGGGCUUCUCUUAAUCAUGUACAAAUCUUUCACCUUUUACUAAAGAUUUCCGUGGAGAUGGGUGUCAAGAAGCUCAAAAUAUUUUUGAAGGCUCUGUUUCGACGUCU
This is a small nuclear RNA of 112 nucleotides. Its record names the gene U5. It matches the Rfam family "U5 spliceosomal RNA". Rfam says of the family: U5 RNA is a component of both types of known spliceosome. The precise function of this molecule is unknown, though it is known that the 5' loop is required for splice site selection and p220 binding, and that both the 3' stem-loop and the Sm site are important for Sm protein binding and cap methylation. The record is from Ensembl.